GCAAACUUGGUCAUUUAGAGGAAGUAAAAGUCGUAACAAGGUCUCCGUUGGUGAACCAGCGGAGGGAUCAUUAGCGAGUUGCAAAACUCCCACACCCUUGCGAACAUACCUACCGUUGCCUCGCCGCCGGCCUCGCGCCAGCGGCGGCGGCCCCCUAAACUCUUGUAUCUACGGGCUUCUCUGAGUACACUUAUAACAAGUCAAAACUUUCAACAACGGAUCUCUUGGUUCUGGCAUCGAUGAAGAACGCAGC
This 253-nucleotide unclassified non-coding RNA is filed under the name uncultured fungus. Its description in RNAcentral is "partial contains small subunit ribosomal RNA, internal transcribed spacer 1, and 5.8S ribosomal RNA". The stretch from base 1 to 73 matches the Rfam family "Eukaryotic small subunit ribosomal RNA", at positions 1759 to 1831 of the family's 1831-position model. The record is from RNAcentral. Lineage: Eukaryota; Fungi.